ACAAAUCCGAUAAUUGCAUGAAGGGGAGACCCUUUUUGCAAAUAUUAAAUCGCCGGCUGGCCUAGGCUAGCUGGUGAGAUUAUAUAAAUGCGUGUCAUGUUGACAGUGUGAGUGAGAUUUAAAUUUAUUGA
Molecule: unclassified non-coding RNA, 131 nt
Filed under: uncultured Rozellomycota
Lineage: Eukaryota; Fungi; Rozellomycota
Description: uncultured Cryptomycota sequence contains ITS1
Source: RNAcentral